UACGGAGGGAGCAAGCGUUAUUCGGAAUUACUGGGUGUAAAGCGCGCGUAGGUGGUCGUGUAAGUCAGGCGUGAAAUCCUCUGGCUUAACCAGAGAAUUGCUCUUGAUACUAUGCGACUUGAGUAUGGGAGAGGAAGGUGGAAUUCCUAGUGUAGCGGUGAAAUGCGUAGAUAUUGGGGAGAACACCGGUGGCGAAGGCGGCCUUCUGGCCCAAUACUGACACUGAGGUGCGAAAGCUAGGGGAGCGAACGGGAUUAGAUACCCGCGUA
Molecule: ribosomal RNA, 269 nt
Filed under: uncultured prokaryote
Description: partial 16S ribosomal RNA
Rfam family: Bacterial small subunit ribosomal RNA
Source: RNAcentral